GCUCGGCUCAGCCCCGGCAGCGAGCAGGGGCGCAGAGUGGGAAAGUAGGAAUUGGAACCGGCUGUGGCUGCCUCCCAGCCACAUGGGUUGCAGAUAGAGCUGCUCAUCGGGGAGGGGGAAGGGAACAGAAGUAAACUAGACGUCGUCUGCCCGCCCCACCUCUUUUUUUUUUUUUUUUUUUUUUUUUCCCUUGUAUUUAGAAACCUGCCAAAAGCAAUAGUUACGGUUUACCACGGACUGAGGACUUUUCUUUGUGUUGAGCAAAUGGCAAUCAGAGGACUAAGCCUCCUGUAGUACAUAAAGGAAUGAAUUUUCAUUCUUUCUCUGUACCGUCCUGCCCACUAGGUUCCCGAAAACGCUGCCAAUGAGGAUGCAAUUGAACAUGGCUCCAGCUCCAUGAGGGGCUCGUCAGAAUGAUCCAGAUGUUCUUCAGAAAUUCCCCUUUUAAAGAUUCUUCUUGCCCAGUAGUUUUGGCUUCUGCUGAGCUGCGGCUCUCGUGUCUACAUGCCUCCCUGCUCAGACAGUGUCUCUCCCAAUUCAAGUGGUCUGUUGCAGUGUCCAUCUCCUGUGGUCUUCUGCCGUCCUUGCUUGUUUUCCUGAGUGUCAGGAAGAACCAUUCUUAUGCUUUGAUUUUGUUGCCCUUGAAAAUCAGCCCUGUUGUCCUUCACGGCAGUAUUCCGCAUGUCCUGCCAUACAGGUCCCUGAACAAGGCAAGAUCUGCCUUCUUAAAUGCCAGGAUAGUAAUUUUUGAAAUUUAUCUUGCUCACUUGACUCAGGAUUUUAAACUCUGUAGUCAUUGCAGGUAAGGUUUCCCUCAACUUUCACAUCUCCAGCUGGUUCUUGCCUCUUCAUGGAAGCAGGUCCAACAGAGAACCUACUUAGCUUGUCAGUUAUCUGUAUCAAAAAAUUGUCAUCAGUACGUGCUCCCCACUUAAAUAGUUUUAAAUAAUUGAAAACUCUGUACUAGCCCCUGAACUGAAGUCACUAAGGAGUCACUGGAGUCACUAAGGUGACUCAGCCUACCUUAGACAUUAUUAGACCCACGUGCUUGUAUGUUUUCAUAAAUAAAUAUCUGACCUAAAGUCCUGGAUGGUUUUUA
This 1099-nucleotide long non-coding RNA is filed under the name Zonotrichia albicollis (white-throated sparrow). RNAcentral describes it as "lncRNA (ENSZALG00000011320.1)". Lineage: Eukaryota; Metazoa; Chordata; Aves; Passeriformes; Passerellidae. The record is from RNAcentral.